AUUGCCCUAGUAACGGCGAGUGAAGCGGCAACAGCUCAAAUUUGAAAUCUGGCGUCUUUGGCGUCCGAGUUGUAAUUUGCAGAGGGCGCUUUGGCAUUGGCAGCGGUCCAAGUUCCUUGGAACAGGACGUCACAGAGGGUGAGAAUCCCGUACGUGGUCGCUAGCCUUUACCGUGUAAAGCCCCUUCGACGAGUCGAGUUGUUUGGGAAUGCAGCUCUAAAUGGGAGGUAAAUUUCUUCUAAAGCUAAAUACUGGCCAGAGACCGAUAGCGCACAAGUAGAGUGAUCGAAAGAUGAAAAGCACUUUGGAAAGAGAGUUAAAAAGCACGUGAAAUUGUUGAAAGGGAAGCGCUUGCAGCCAGACUUGCCUGUAGUUGCUCAUCCGGGUUUCUACCCGGUGCACUCUUCUAUAGGCAGGCCAGCAUCAGUUUGGGCGGUUGGAUAAAGGUCUCUGUCAUGUACCUCCUUUCGGGGAGAACUUAUAGGGGAGACGACAUGCAACCAGCCUGGACUGAGGUCCGCGCAUCUGCUAGGAUGCUGGCGUAAUGGCUGUAAGCGGCCCGUCUUGAAACACGGACCAAGGAGUCUAACAUCUAUGCGAGUGUUUGGGUGUCAAGCCCGAGCGCGUAAUGAAAGUGAACGGAGGUGGGAACCUUUCGGGGUGCACCAUCGACCGAUCCUGAUGUCUUCGGAUGGAUUUGAGUAAGAGCAUAGCUGUUGGGACCCGAAAGAUGGUGAACUAUGCUUGAAUAGGGUGAAGCCAGAGGAAACUCUGGUGGAGGCUCGCAGCGGUUCUGACGUGCAAAUCGAUCGUCAAAUUUGGGCAUAGGGGCGAAAGACUAAUCGA
Molecule: ribosomal RNA, 846 nt
Filed under: Nothophoma gossypiicola
Lineage: Eukaryota; Fungi; Ascomycota; Dothideomycetes; Pleosporales; Didymellaceae
Description: partial large subunit ribosomal RNA
Rfam family: Eukaryotic large subunit ribosomal RNA
Source: RNAcentral